GUGCUCACUUUGGCAGCACAUAUAGUAAAAUUGGAAUGAAACAGAGAAGAUUAGCAUGGCCACUGUGCAAAGAUGACAUGCAAAUUCGUGAAGCAUUCUAUAUUUUU
Loxodonta africana (African savanna elephant) is the source of this 107-nucleotide small nuclear RNA. The record is from Ensembl. NCBI's taxonomy places the organism in Eukaryota, Metazoa, Chordata, Mammalia, Proboscidea, Elephantidae.